GAUGAAGAACGCAGCGAAAUGCGAUACGUAAUGUGAAUUGCAAAUUCAGUGAAUCAUCGAGUCUUUGAACGCACAUUGCGCCCCCUGUAUUCCGGGGGGCAUGCCUGUCCGAGCGUCAUUGCUGCCCUCAAGCACGGCUUGUGUGUUGGGCCCCGUCCUCCGAUCCCGGGGGACGGGCCCGAAAGGCAGCGGCGGCACCGCGUCCGGUCCUCGAGCGUAUGGGGCUUUGUCACCCGCUCUGUAGGCCCGGCCGGCGCUUGCCGAUCAACCCAAAUUUUUAUCCAGGUUGACCUCGGAUCAGGUAGGGAUACCCGCUGAACUUAAGCAUAUCAAUAAGCGGAGGA
RNAcentral lists this unclassified non-coding RNA (344 nucleotides) under soil metagenome. RNAcentral's name for it is "partial contains 5.8S ribosomal RNA, internal transcribed spacer 2, and large subunit ribosomal RNA". The stretch from base 1 to 118 matches the Rfam family "5.8S ribosomal RNA", at positions 35 to 154 of the family's 154-position model. The record is from RNAcentral.